RNAcentral lists this ribosomal RNA (818 nucleotides) under Rhizophagus irregularis DAOM 181602=DAOM 197198. Its description in RNAcentral is "eukaryotic LSU rRNA". It matches the Rfam family "Eukaryotic large subunit ribosomal RNA", at positions 1 to 668 of the family's 3401-position model. Lineage: Eukaryota; Fungi; Glomeromycota; Glomeromycetes; Glomerales; Glomeraceae. The record is from RNAcentral.
GACCUCAAAUCAGGUAAGGACACCCGCUGAACUUAAGCAUAUCAAUAAGCGGAGGAAAAGAAAAUAACAAUGAUUCCCCUAGUAACUGCGAGUGAAGAGGGACAAGCUCAAAUUUUAAAUCCAUCGGGUUUUACCUGAUCGAGUUGUAAUUUGAAGAAGCGUUUUCUGCGUAUUUGAUCAGCCUAAGUCCUAUUGAAUGAGGCAUCACGGAGGGUGAUAAUCCCGUCCGGUUGAUCAUUUGCGUUUUACGAUACGCUUUCUAAGAGUCAAGUUGUUUGGGAUUGCAGCUUAAAAUGGGAGGUAAAUUUCUCCUAAGGCUAAAUAACGGCGAGAGACCGAUAGCGAACAAGUACCGUGAGGGAAAGAUGAAAAGAACUUUGAAAAGAGAGUUAAACAGUACGUGAAAUUGUUGAAAGGGAAACGAUUGAAGCCAGUCGUACCUUCGGGUAAUCAGCCUUUCGGGUGCGAUUCUGUGGAGUUUGAGGAGCUUUAACACCUUCAUGCUUUGCAUAUUCGUACUCUUGGGUGUACUUGCCCGUGUGGUUGGUUAACAUCAAUUUUGGUGGUCAUAAAAUGACUGGGGGAAUGUAGCUUCGAUCUUGUAUUGAAGUGUUAUAGCCUUCGGUAGAUGUGAUGAUCGAGAUUGAGGAUUGCAACGGAUACCCUUUGGGGCUACCUGUCUGAUCUCUGAUCGUUGCUUUGGUGCCGAAAGCUUGCUUACGGUUAUCAAAGUCGAUGGUCAAUAGGUUAGAACGGGUUAAAUUCGUUAAGGAUGUUGACGUAAUGGUUUUAAACGACCCGUCUUGAAACACGGACCA